This 66-nucleotide transfer RNA is filed under the name Pyroteuthis margaritifera. RNAcentral's name for it is "tRNA-Ala". The record is from RNAcentral. Lineage: Eukaryota; Metazoa; Mollusca; Cephalopoda; Oegopsida; Pyroteuthidae.
GGUAUUAUACUUUAUACAAGAAGACAUGAUUUGCAUUCAUAUAGAAAGAUAAUAUCUUUAAUACCA